RNAcentral lists this long non-coding RNA (690 nucleotides) under Sus scrofa (pig). RNAcentral describes it as "lncRNA (ENSSSCG00015003636.1)". The record is from RNAcentral. Lineage: Eukaryota; Metazoa; Chordata; Mammalia; Artiodactyla; Suidae.
CCGGGGACAGGGUGUACUUCCAGGGGCUGGAGGAUUUGCUUGCACACAAGAGAAGGGUUCGAGGCCGCUGCCUGUGAUUCAGAUUUCUGCAAAUCCAAUCAUGUUUCCAAUGACCUAAGGGGGUUUCAUUUUAAGGCAAUCCUUCAGUGAAUGCUUUUCUUAGGAUUACAGAACCAACAAGAUAGCCCAGGCUACUUAGUCACCGAACCCUGAAGACCUGCCAGGUCGCAGGGACUGGGAGACAGAGAAAGAGGAGGAAAGAUAUUUACACACAUGACCUGAUGACAGCUCCGUUUGGAAAGGCAGGUGAAAAGAACCAAGUGAAAGGAGAGGAUGAUGAAUGAAACACACUAAGUGACGGAUUUGAUUAAGAAGGUCCCGUGGAGUUUCCACUGUGGCUCAGCAGGGCCAUCCUCUCCCGACUUCCAGCAUAUUCCCCCGUGGUCACAGAGCAAGUGGAGCGGGCAGCGGCUGGGUUCUCUCCACCCCAAGUCAACCAAGUACGUUAACGCCUGCGGCCUGGGUAUCCCCCAGAUCCUGCCCUGGGCCCCUUGGCCUCUUUCUUCAUCUCCAACGCCUUUGCUCACCUCGCUUGGCUAAAGGCAACAUCAUCCCCACUCUGCACAAGAAACUGUGCCACCCUGGCAAGCUGGCCAGCCCUCCUGUCCUCCGUGGGGCCUUCGCCUGACC